CUAACAAAGGAUCCCUUAGUAACUGCGAGUGAAGAGGGAAAAGCUCAAAUUUAAAAUCUGACAGUGUUUCACUGUCCGAGUUGUAACCUAGAGAAGUGUAACCUGUGCUGGACCGUGUACAAGUCUCCUGGAAUGGAGCAUCAUAGAGGGUGAGAAUCCCGUCUUUGACAUGGACUGCCAGUGCAUUAUGGUUGUGCUCUCAACGAGUCGAGUUGUUUGGGAAUGCAGCUCUAAAUGGGUGGUAAAUUCCAUCUAAAGCUAAAUAUUGGCGAGAGACCGAUAGCGAACAAGUACCGUGAGGGAAAGAUGAAAAGAACUUUGGAAAGAGAGUUAAACAGUAUGUGAAAUUGUUGAAAGGGAAACGUUUGAAGUCAGUCGCGUUGGCUGGGGAUCAACCUGACAUGUUGUUAGGUGUACUUCCUGGUUGACGGGUCAACAUCAGUUUUGACUGCCAGAGAAAGGCCAAGGGAAUGUGGCACCUUUGGGUGUGUUAUAACUUUUGGUCGUAUGUGGUGGUUGGGACUGAGGACAGCAGUGCGCCGCAAUGGCAGGGUUUCAACCACAUUCGCACUGAGGAUGUUGGCAUAAUGGCUUUAAGCGACCCGUCUUGAAACACGGACCAAGGAGUCUAACAUGCAUGCGAGUGUUUGGGUGGAAAACCCUUACGCGUAAUGAAAGUGAAAGUUGAGAUCCCUGUCGUAGGGAGCAUCGACGCCCGGACCAGAACUUUUGGGACGGAUCUGCGGUAGAGCAUGUAUGUUGGGACCCGAAAGAUGGUGAACUAUGCCUGAAUAGGGUGAAGCCAGAGGAAACUCUGGUGGAGGCUCGUAGCGAUUCUGACGUGCAAAUCGAUCGUCAAAUUUGGGUAUAGGGGCGAAAGACUAAUCG
This 888-nucleotide ribosomal RNA is filed under the name Amanita brunneolimbata. Its description in RNAcentral is "eukaryotic LSU rRNA". It matches the Rfam family "Eukaryotic large subunit ribosomal RNA", at positions 65 to 937 of the family's 3401-position model. Lineage: Eukaryota; Fungi; Basidiomycota; Agaricomycetes; Agaricales; Amanitaceae. The record is from RNAcentral.